RNAcentral lists this ribosomal RNA (397 nucleotides) under uncultured bacterium. Its description in RNAcentral is "partial 16S ribosomal RNA". It matches the Rfam family "Bacterial small subunit ribosomal RNA", at positions 523 to 918 of the family's 1533-position model. The record is from RNAcentral.
AUACGUAGGGGGCGAGCGUUGUCCGGAAUGAUUGGGCGUAAAGGGCGCGUAGGCGGCCCGGUAAGUCUGGAGUGAAAGUCCUGUUUUUAAGAUGGGAAUUGCUUUGGAUACUGUCGGGCUUGAGUGCAGGAGAGGUAAGUGGAAUUCCCAGUGUAGCGGUGAAAUGCGUAGAGAUUGGGAGGAACACCAGUGGCGAAGGCGACUUACUGGACUGUAACUGACGCUGAGGCGCGAAAGUGUGGGGAGCAAACAGGAUUAGAUACCCUGGUAGUCCACACUGUAAACGAUGAAUGCUAGGGGUAGGGGGUAUCGACCCCUUCUGUGCCGCAGUCAACACAAUAAGCAUUCCGCCUGGGGAGUACGGCCGCAAGGUUGAAACUCAAAGGAAUUGACGGGG